CAAGAUGAAGAGGUGAACUUUGAUGUGUUUCAAGCUAUGUCACAUCCCAAAGACGACAGGUCAUUGAUGGGUGUCGCGGCCCAUACAAAUUUAAUUGCAAUUUAGAAAUGCAGUAUAAUGCUAGGGAAUUACCCCUAGGUCGUCUCUCAAGGACCAACUGCGGUUCAGAGUCAAGUCUAACACAAAGGGGGGGGGGUUUGAAAAGUGUUUUUGCGAAUGCGAAUAACUAAAUUAAAACAAAUGGACAUUAAACUCAACUGAGUAAGUUAGAAAACAUCAAGGUAAAAUAAAAUGCUAAUCCCGACAUUUCAACAAACAAUUAUCUAAACACAAGUAAAACUAUAAAAUGCAACGCUAAAUUAGAGACAUCAAAAGCAACUAAUCCUACUAUGUAAAUUAAUGCAAAACAAAGGGGUAAUUAAACAUGCUUUUUAAUCCAUCAAUUAUGUGACCAAUAUUCAUCUACCAAAUGAAAUUAAAAGUGCAAUUAGCUUGAGAAAACCCCCUUGGGCCGUGAGCUCCUAGUCCACCAAGGCCCAACUUCAAUUCUUGAUUUUCUUCCUUAAAUGAACCAUGCAAGAUGUGUUGACUCUUUGUCUCAUAUGCACCAAACUUCAAGACAACAAUCAUGUGCCUUCCAUAUCAUUCAAAACCGUCACCCACUCCUUGCAUGUAGCAAAAUAAAAUGGAAACCAUGCUAAGGGAGGAAAUUCACGUGAAAAUUGGCAAUGUUGGGUGCAAGGAAUGCUUCUAAAAAGUCCACAAGUCAAAGGGUGCUUUAAUCUCUUCUUUCAAGAUGCCACAUG
This 806-nucleotide long non-coding RNA is filed under the name Vigna radiata. Its description in RNAcentral is "long non-coding RNA (VRAD_LNC002637)". Lineage: Eukaryota; Viridiplantae; Streptophyta; Magnoliopsida; Fabales; Fabaceae. The record is from RNAcentral.